This 447-nucleotide long non-coding RNA is filed under the name Homo sapiens (human). RNAcentral describes it as "non-protein coding lnc-TSHZ2-8:1". The record is from RNAcentral. Lineage: Eukaryota; Metazoa; Chordata; Mammalia; Primates; Hominidae.
GACAGCGAUGGCAACUUUGGGGGAUAGCUUCUCCCAGUAAGGAAGGCAAAUUCUACAAAAAGAAUGAAGCACAGCAGAAAAAGUGAAGCGCUGGUUCUUACAAGGAAAAGAAGGAAAGCUUUUGCUGCUGGGAAGAUAAGAUCUUCUUCAGAUGGCCACAGAUGUGAAGAAUUAACCCAGUCGGAGCCAGCUUCAUGGACAUGCCAUCUGCACAGUUCCACGGAGAAGGGACCUGUACUUUGGAGAAACCUUCAAACAUGGACACAGAGACACGUGCAAGGAAGUACAUCACAUUCUUUGGGGGAAGUGGAACAACAGGAAGCAACCUACAUGUCCAUCAGCAAGGGGACUGCUAAGUAAGUGUGCAAGAGUGAAACGGGAUGUGGUGGUGAAGAAGAAGAAAAUAGACCUCUAUGUACCUACUGUAUUAGUCUGUUUUCACACUGC